GAUGAACGCUGGCGGCGUGCCUAAUACAUGCAAGUCGAGCGAACAGACGAGGAGCUUGCUCCUCUGACGUUAGCGGCGGACGGGUGAGUAACACGUGGAUAACCUACCUAUAAGACUGGGAUAACUUCGGGAAACCGGAGCUAAUACCGGAUAAUAUAUUGAACCGCAUGGUUCAAUAGUGAAAGACGGUUUUGCUGUCACUUAUAGAUGGAUCCGCGCCGCAUUAGCUAGUUGGUAAGGUAACGGCUUACCAAGGCAACGAUGCGUAGCCGACCUGGGAGGGUGAUCGGCCACACUGGAACUGAGACACGGUCCAGACUCCUACGGGAAGCAGCAGUAGGGAAUCUUCCGCAAUGGGCGAAAGCCUGACGGAGCAACGCCGCGUGAGUGAUGAAGGUCUUCGGAUCGUAAAACUCUGUUAUUAGGGAAGAACAAAUGUGUAAGUAACUAUGCACGUCUUGACGGUACCUAAUCAGAAAGCCACGGCUAACUACGUG
This 497-nucleotide ribosomal RNA is filed under the name uncultured bacterium. RNAcentral's name for it is "partial 16S ribosomal RNA". It matches the Rfam family "Bacterial small subunit ribosomal RNA", at positions 28 to 507 of the family's 1533-position model. The record is from RNAcentral.